Molecule: ribosomal RNA, 805 nt
Filed under: uncultured bacterium
Lineage: Bacteria
Description: bacterial SSU rRNA
Rfam family: Bacterial small subunit ribosomal RNA
Source: RNAcentral
UGAGUAACGCGUAUCCAACCUUCCCGUUACUGCGGGAUAACCUGCCGAAAGGCAGACUAAUACCGCAUGUUCUUCGAUGACGGCAUCAGAUUCGAAGCAAAGAUCCGUCGGUAACGGAGGGGGAUGCGCCUGAUUAGCUAGUUGGCGGGGCGACGGCCCACCAAGGCGACGAUCAGUAGGGGUUCUGAGAGGAAGGUCCCCCACAUUGGAACUGAGACACGGUCCAAACUCCUACGGGAGGCAGCAGUGAGGAAUAUUGGUCAAUGGGCGGAAGCCUGAACCAGCCAAGUAGCGUGCAGGAUGACGGCCCUACGGGUUGUAAACUGCUUUUAUGCGGGGAUAAAGUGAGGGACGCGUCCCUUUUUGCAGGUACCGCAUGAAUAAGGACCGGCUAAUUCCGUGCCAGCAGCCGCGGUAAUACGGAAGGUCCGGGCGUUAUCCGGAUUUAUUGGGUUUAAAGGGAGCGUAGGCUGGAGAUUAAGUGUGUUGUGAAAUGUAGACGCUCAACGUCUGAAUUGCAGCGCAUACUGGUUUCCUUGAGUACGCACAACGUUGGCGGAAUUCGUCGUGUAGCGGUGAAAUGCUUAGAUAUGACGAAGAACUCCGAUUGCGAAGGCAGCUGAUGGGAGCGCAACUGACGCUUAAGCUCGAAGGUGCGGGUAUCAAACAGGAUUAGAUACCCUGGUAGUCCGCACAGUAAACGAUGGAUGCCCGCUGUUGGUACCUGGUAUCAGCGGCUAAGCGAAAGCAUUAAGCAUCCCACCUGGGGAGUACGCCGGCAACGGUAAACUCAAAGGAAUGACGG